This 400-nucleotide ribosomal RNA is filed under the name uncultured bacterium. RNAcentral describes it as "bacterial SSU rRNA". It matches the Rfam family "Bacterial small subunit ribosomal RNA", at positions 355 to 747 of the family's 1533-position model. The record is from RNAcentral.
UAGGGAAUCUUCGGCAAUGGACGAAAGUCUGACCGAGCAACGCCGCGUGAGCGAAGAAGGCCUUCGGGUCGUAAAGCUCUGUUGUUAGAGAAGAACAUGGGUGAGAGUAACUGUUCACCCCUUGACGGUAUCUAACCAGAAAGCCACGGCUAACUACGUGCCAGCAGCCGCGGUAAUACGUAGGUGGCAAGCGUUGUCCGGAAUUAUUGGGCGUAAAGCGCGCGCAGGCGGUCUCUUAAGUCUGAUGUGAAAGCCCCCGGCUCAACCGGGGAGGGUCAUUGGAAACUGGGAGACUUGAGGACAGAAGAGGAGAGUGGAAUUCCAAGUGUAGCGGUGAAAUGCGUAGAUAUUUGGAGGAACACCAGUGGCGAAGGCGGCUCUCUGGUCUGUUACUGACGCU